AAGAGAGAGUUUUCGUCAUUAUCUCCAAGGACAUCCAACCAGCGUCCUGUGAGUGCUACAAGAUGACGAGCGGUAACGUAGACAAUAUUUUCGCUCUUCUCAACUUGACCCAAUUUACGAGGCCAUGGCAUUACAUUACGAGAAGAUCAAAAAGGGAAUGGUGAAUCGCUCUCGAUACGUAAACUUUCUUUCUCUUACCAUCGGCCUACCAGCG
Long non-coding RNA from Anopheles coustani, 214 nucleotides. RefSeq lists it as uncharacterized. The record is from RefSeq and is a predicted model, not a curated record. The transcript is spliced from 3 exons. Lineage: Eukaryota; Metazoa; Arthropoda; Insecta; Diptera; Culicidae.